UUGCUUCAGCAGCACAUAUACUAAAAUUGGAAAAAUACAAAGAAAAUUAGCAUGGCCACUAGGGUACAAGGAUGACAUGCAAAAAUUUAGUGCAUGUUCAUUUAAUU
Small nuclear RNA from Oryctolagus cuniculus (rabbit), 107 nucleotides. Lineage: Eukaryota; Metazoa; Chordata; Mammalia; Lagomorpha; Leporidae. The record is from Ensembl.